RNAcentral lists this ribosomal RNA (393 nucleotides) under Triticum aestivum (bread wheat). RNAcentral's name for it is "partial small subunit ribosomal RNA". Lineage: Eukaryota; Viridiplantae; Streptophyta; Magnoliopsida; Poales; Poaceae. The record is from RNAcentral.
AUGGUUGGUCCGUUUAAACCAUCUCAAGAUAAGAAGACUCACCUGUUGGUCGAUGUCGAUAAGUUUACCAAAUGGGUUGAAGCAGAGCCUAACAAUAACUGUGAUGCAGCUACAGCAGUCAAGUUUUUGAAGAAGUUGAUUUUUAGAUUUGGCUUUCCACACAACAUCAUUACUGAUAAUAGAACAAACCUUUCCAAGGGAGCCAUGGCACAGUUUUGUCAAAGAGAGCACAUCCGGCUCGAUGUGGCGUCUGUUGCGCACCCUCAGUCCAAUGGUCAAGAUGAAUGCGCCAACCAAGAGAUACUACGAGGCAUCAAACCUCGACUCCUGGUUCCUCUCCAGCGCACGUCGGUUGUUGGGUCGAAGUGCUUCCUUCUGUAUUAUGGAGCAUAG